GACGAACGCUGGCGGCGUGCUUAACACAUGCAAGUAGAACGGAAAGGCCCUGCUUUUGUGGGGUGCUCGAGUGGCGAACGGGUGAGUAACACGUGAGUAACCUGCCCUUGACUUUGGGAUAACUUCAGGAAACUGGGGCUAAUACCGGAUAGGAGCUCCUGCUGCAUGGUGGGGGUUGGAAAGUUUCGGCGGUUGGGGAUGGACUCGCGGCUUAUCAGCUUGUUGGUGGGGUAGUGGCUUACCAAGGCUUUGACGGGUAGCCGGCCUGAGAGGGGGACCGGCGACAUUGGGACUGAGAUACGGCCCAGACUCCUACGGGAGGCAGCAGUGGGGAAUAUUGCACAAUGGGCGGAAGCCUGAUGCAGCAACGCCGCGUGCGGGAUGACGGCCUUCGGGUUAUAAACCGCUUUCGCCUGUGACGAAGCGUGAGUGACGGUAAUGGGUAAAGAAGCACCGGCUAACUACGUG
This 468-nucleotide ribosomal RNA is filed under the name uncultured bacterium. RNAcentral describes it as "partial 16S ribosomal RNA". It matches the Rfam family "Bacterial small subunit ribosomal RNA", at positions 28 to 507 of the family's 1533-position model. The record is from RNAcentral.